Molecule: long non-coding RNA, 759 nt
Filed under: Mytilus galloprovincialis (Mediterranean mussel)
Lineage: Eukaryota; Metazoa; Mollusca; Bivalvia; Mytilida; Mytilidae
Source: RNAcentral
GGAGAAGGGAUAUAGUGUUUCAUCUGAAAGUAACAAAGUUAAAGUUCAUAUAUCUAUGGAAGUAUAAGUCAUAGUUCCUGAGAUUUUGUUCAUAAAUGCGUCUUGAAUAACCAGGUUGUCCUGAUAAAAAUAAGGUCAUCUUGACCCACAAUUCAUAUAUGAGUGACUGAUUAAAGUUUGAGUUAGAGUCCAUAUCUGAGAUACAAGUUGUGGAGAAAUAAUAUGUUGUCAGUCUUUAAAAGUCAGGAGGAUCCUUAAAAUAUGUAGGCAUUAUAUUCGUGAUUAUUCUUGCCCGAGCGAUAGUGAGGGCUAAAAUAACUCAAAUAUAAUGCAUACCAAUAAUUCAUCGUAUCUAGGUCAAAUAUGUCGAUUUCGAAAUGCAACACAUUACAGUCAUAAUAUGAAUUAGUAACAACAUGUGCAUCAUUUAAGAGUUUGGAAGUGUUUUAAAUUAAUGAAAUUUAUUAAACGCAUGCCAAUUUGAUAAAAUUAAGUGUUCUGCAGUAGUCAAUAUACGCAUGUGCAAAAAUAAAUAUUGGAUUUAGAGCAUGGGCUUAUUCAUAAAGCGAAAGAAGCACGUCAUAUUAGAAUAUUAGAUAGUAAUCUAAAUCACAAGUAUAUCAAUACUUGACAAUUGUGAUUUGCACUAACUAACAUGAUUGUUCAAUGGAUUUAUGUUUAACAUCUGUAUGUAUUAAAAUGUGUAACAUUAUAUCUAAAACCUGGUUAAUUUACUUUUUUUAAAGACACUAGUUUAUA